Molecule: small nuclear RNA, 107 nt
Filed under: Peromyscus maniculatus bairdii (prairie deer mouse)
Lineage: Eukaryota; Metazoa; Chordata; Mammalia; Rodentia; Cricetidae
Source: RNAcentral
AUGCUUGCUUUGGCAGUACAUAUACUAAAAUUGGAACGAUACAGAGAUGAUUAGCAUGGCCCCAGCUCAAGGAUGAUACUCAAAUUCAUGAAGUGUUCCAUAUUUUU